GGGCUAAGGGGCUUACCGCUUACUGAACCCAAUCAAACUCGGAAUGCCAGUACUCCAUAGCAUGGCAGUCGGACUACGGGAGAUGAGUUUCGUGGUCGAAAGGGAAACAGCCCAGAUCAUCGGCUAAGGUCCUCAAAUCUAUGCUAAGUGGGAAACGAGGUGAGGUUACUUGAACAACCAGGAGGUUGGCUUAGAAGCAGCCACCCUUUAAAAAGUGCGUAAUAGCUUACUGGUCUAGUGACCUUGCGCGGAAAACUUAACGGGGCUAAGCAUAGUACCGAAGCCAUGGGACUUGCGCGAGCAAGUCGGUAGGGGAGCGUUCCGUCAGCGGUGAAGGUCGAUCGUAAGGGCGACUGGAGCGGACGGAAGUGAGAAUGCAGGCAUGAGUAGCGUAUAAACACGUGAGAACCGUGUUCGCCGUAAAUCUAAGGUUUCCGACGCCAGGUCAUUCCGCGUCGGGUUAGUCGGUCCUUAGCCGAGGCCGAAAGGCGUAGGUGAUGGACAUCCGGUCAACAUUCCGGAACCGCUCAAGAGGAGCGAUGGGAGGACGCAGCGAGGUAGGCCAGCCUGCGAUUGGUUGUGCAGGUGCGAUCCAUCUAGGCGUUGAGGCUUGUAGGAAAACCCGCAAGCCGAGCUGAGGUGAGAGCGAGCCCCUGAGGCAUAAGUGGUUGAGCCUUGCUGCCGAGAAAAGUCCCUAAGCAUUGAGUCUUGAGCGCCCGUACCGCAAUCCGACACCGGUAGAUGGGUAGAAUAUACCAAGGCGAACGGGAGAACUCUCGUUAAGGAACUAGGCAACAUGACCCCGUAACUUCGGGAGAAGGGGUGCCUUCUAGCGUUCGGGUAACCAAAGCGCUGGAGGGUCGCAGAGAAAUGGCUCUAGUGACUGGUUAACAAAACCACAGGUCUCUGCAAAGCCGUAAGGCGAUGUAUAGGGGCUGACGCGUGCCCAGUGCCGGAAGGUUAAGGGGAGAGGUUAGGCGCAAGCCGACGCUUUGAACCGAAGCCCCGGUGAACGGCGGCCGUAACUAUAACGGUCCUAAGGUUAACAUUUUGCUAGCCUUAGUAAAAUCGAACUAUAUGCGGGAAAGUCCUCUACAGCCAAGUGGUACUCGUCGUAAUCACAUACGGCAGUAAAAAUCCACUGGACAUGGGGAUAAUCCGCAGGGAAGGCUUCCAUGGAAAAUGAAGUUUUGGAAGAACCCUCAGAGACUUUACGUUCGAUCUCGCCCUCUUCGAGAUUAGAAGCGCAAUGGGUGGUAGGGUUUGUGGAUGGAGAAGGAUGUUUUUAUGUCGGCAUCAAUGCCCAACCUGAAAUGACAACAGGCUAUCAGGUAUUACCUGAAUUUACAGUGGUUCAGCACCAACGUGAUGUUCAACUGUUAUAUGCUCUGAAACAAUUUUUCGGUUGUGGCGUUGUAAGAAAAAAUCACGGUGAUCGCAUGGCUUAUCGAGUGAGAAGUCUUGAUCACCUCACCAAAUACAUUGUUCCAUUCUUUGAAAAACAUCCUUUGAAAUCGAAAAAGCGCCUUGAUUUUCUGAAAUUCAGAAAAAUAUUGAUCAUGAUGCAGCGCAACGAACACCUGACCCCUGAUGGAAUCGAAAAGAUUCGUCAGAUGGCUUCUGAGAUGAAUAGAGGACGGGAAAGAUAAAGUCCGGCUUCUCUGGAAACAGAGUGAGAUAAUCCGAGCGAAAUUCCUUGUCGGGUAAGUUCCGACCCGCACGAACCGCGUAACAACUAGAGCACUGUCUCAACGAGAGACCCGGUGAAAUUGAAAUGGCUGUGAAGAUGCGGCCUACCCGCAGCAGGACAAAAAGACCCCGUGGAGCUUUACUGCAGUUUGGCAUUGCGUUUGGGUAUCGUCUGUGUAGGAUAGGUGGGAGGCUUUGAAGCUGGGGCGCUAGCUUCGGUGGAGCCGCCGGUGAAAUACCACCCUGAUGAUAUUUAGACCCUAACCCCACACCGUCAUCCGGGUGGGGGACCGUGCCAGAUGGGCAGUUUGACUGGGGCGGUCGCCUCCUAAAAGGUAACGGAGGCGCCCAAAGGUUCCCUCAGGUGGAAUGGAAACCCACCAAAGAGUGUAAAGGCAUAAGGGAGCUUGACUGCAAGACCAACGCGUCGAGCAGAGACGAAAGUCGGGCUUAGUGAUCCCACGACUCAGUGUGGAAUGGUCGUGGCUUACCGGAUAAAAGCUACCCCGGGGAUAACAGGCUGGUGACGUCCAAGAGUCCAUAUCGACGACGUCGCUCGGCACCUCGAUGUCGGCUCAUCGCAUCCUGGGGCUGGACAAGGUCCCAAGGGUCGGGCUGUUCGCCCGUUAAAGCGGUACGCGAGCUGGGUUCAGACCGUCGUGAGACAGGUCGGUCUCUAUCCGCUGUGGGCGUAAGGGAUUUGAGAGGAUCUGCCCCUAGUACGAGAGGACCGGGGUGGACGGACCUCUGGUGUGCCAGUUGUCGUGCCAACGGCAUUGCUGGGUAGCUACGUCCGGCAGAGAUAACCGCUGAAAGCAUCUAAGUGGGAAACUCGCCUCAAGAUGAGAUCCCUGUGUUCCCGUAAGGGAGUAAGACCCCAGGUAGACUACCUGGUAUAUAGGCAACAAGUGUAAGCGCGUAUAUCUAAAGGCGUUCAGCUAAGUUGUACUAAUGGUCGAGGGCUGAUCC
This 2658-nucleotide ribosomal RNA is filed under the name Anaerolineae bacterium. RNAcentral's name for it is "partial 23S ribosomal RNA". It matches the Rfam family "Bacterial large subunit ribosomal RNA", at positions 916 to 2925 of the family's 2925-position model. The record is from RNAcentral. Lineage: Bacteria; Bacillati; Chloroflexota; Anaerolineae.